UGGCAUCGAGUUUCACUCCCAACCCUUAUGUGAACCGUACCUAUCGUUGCUUCGGCGGGAACGCCCCGGCGCCCUGCGCCCGGAUCCAGGCGCCCGCCGGAGACCCCAAACUCUUGUGUUUUUUUCAGUAUUCUCUGAGUGGCAAACGCAAAAAUAAAUCAAAACUUUUAACAACGGAUCUCUUGGCUCUGGCAUCGAUGAAGAACGCAGCGAAAUGCGAUAAGUAAUGUGAAUUGCAGAAUUCAGUGAAUCAUCGAAUCUUUGAACGCACAUUGCGCCCGUUAGCAUUCUAGCGGGCAUGCCUGUCCGAGCGUCAUUUCAACCCUCAGGGUCCCCGUUCCGGCGGGGAACCUGGUGUUGGGGAUCGGCCCGCCCCGCGCGGCGCCGUCCCCCAAAUUCAGUGGCGGUCUCGCUGCAGCCUCCCCUGCGUAGUAGUUACAACCUCGCAUCGGAGCUCAGCGCGGCCACGCCGUAAAACCCCCGACUUUCUGAACGUUGACCUCGGAUCAGGUAGGAAUACCCGCUGAACUUAAGCAUAUCAAUAGCCGGGAGGAA
RNAcentral lists this ribosomal RNA (555 nucleotides) under Stachybotrys sp. JZ-170. Its description in RNAcentral is "eukaryotic LSU rRNA". The stretch from base 163 to 316 matches the Rfam family "5.8S ribosomal RNA". The record is from RNAcentral. Lineage: Eukaryota; Fungi; Ascomycota; Sordariomycetes; Hypocreales; Stachybotryaceae.